Non-coding RNA from Procambarus clarkii (red swamp crayfish), 2658 nucleotides. Lineage: Eukaryota; Metazoa; Arthropoda; Malacostraca; Decapoda; Cambaridae. The record is from RefSeq and is a predicted model, not a curated record.
UUACUGUUGUUGAAAAAAAAUAUCCCAAAUUUAUUUUCAUUUCUUUUUCAAUUUCAAAUUACGUCCAAAUUCGGCCAUACGGGCAAACGGCCAAAAGCUACAUUCUUUUUAAGAGGACAGGUUGUUUUUAUAUGGUCAAAUAUCUAGGAUGGAAGUGUUUAUCACUAUCGCCAAACUAAAGUUGUAAAUGGUGUAAAAUAAAUACCAGUGCUUUACUGUACCUUCUACUCUAAAUUGCAUCACUAGCUAGUACCAUCAGCCUGGAUGCUAAUAUCACCACUUACAAGCACUGGCUUAGUCCUUUCAUUUGGCAUUUACUUAACCACACACACUAGCAUUACAAAAAGUUAGUAGCACCAUAAUAUAGCCAUACUAGUUUAGCACUUUGUUUGAAUAAUUACUUAGUAGUAUCACAUGAAGCAAAUAUUGCUACCUGUUAGUAUCACACAAAGUUUACACUAUCAUAUAUGGUACUAGUAUCAAAGGAAACUAGUACCAAUACACGAACAUCACAGGAAGCAAGUACCACCACAUGUUAGCAUCAAAGGAAGCUAGUGGUACCAUACUAGCAUCACAGGAAGCUAGUAGCACCAUACUAGCAUCACAGGAAGCUAGUGGUACCAUACUAGCAUCACAGGAAGCUAGUAGCAUCAUACUAGCAUCACAGGAAGCUAGUGGUACCAUACUAGCAUCACAGGAAGCUAGAAGUACCAUACUAGCAUCACAGGAAGCUAGUGGUACCAUACUAGCAUCACAGGAAGCUAGUGGUACCAUACUAGCAUCACAGGAAGCUAGUGGCACCAUACUAGCAUCACAGGAAGCUAGUAGCAUCAUACUAGCAUCACAGGAAGCUAGUAGCAUCAUACUAGCAUCACAGGAAGCUAGAAGUACCAUACUAGCAUCACAGGAAGCUAGAAGUACCAUACUAGCAUCACAGGAAGCUAGAAGUACCAUACUAGCAUCACAGGAAGCUAGAAGUACCAUACUAGCAUCACAGGAAGCUAUACCACCGUACACUAGUAAACUAUCCAGAGUGGUAUUUCUGUAAUUUCGUUGGCGUGAAGUUUUCCGUGUUGUGUAUGGCUAAAGCCAUUGUAAUUUCCUGAUAUAGUACACUUGUGGUUUUGUGCAGGAAUGUGUUCCCAGGACCUUGUGUUUAGUAAGCAAACUGCUUAGUAUUAUAAUUUUGUCAAGAUCUUAUGGGAUAAAAAUUGAAUGUAUAACAGAACCAAAAAUGCUAUUACAUAAAUUGUGUACAAUAAAAUUUUAGGAUUUAUUUAUAAUAAAAAUAUGAAGUCAAUGUAACAUUUUUACUCUCAAAUUUUAAGGUCUUUUAACACAACAGUGCAAAAUAUAAUUUUAUUUUGGCAUAAACAAGUAAUUUAUUUGUUGUGUAAUGAUUGAAGUUAAAUGUCUGUCCUCCAUUCCGCAAAAUUAGUUCUUAAAUUUGAGAAUCAAUAUCUUAAGUAUUUAAUGCAAAUUUGUAGAAGACCUGGAUGAAGCACGGAAUUGACUGAAUGGCAUCAUUACACAGACUUUAGUAAAAACUGAUCACUGACCUUACUAAAGUUCUCAAAUACUGUCUAUAUAAAGUUCCCGACCACAACACCUGAAAAUUAUUGCACUACUAAAAUAAUGAUUUAAUAAGAAUUAGCACUGUAUUUCAAUUGAUUGAUUUUUAGUUUACUGUACUGUACUUUGAAAAUUUUAUUUUUAAAACACGUCAGAUGAGCACAGUUACCACCAUGUUGGUGGUAACUUUACGAAUUAAGCAGAUAAGUGUUAUAAGUUGAAAACAGCUGAGCAUUACCGAUUUGUUUUGCUAAUUCUUCAUUAUUUUGGCCCCGACUGUCCUGUGAUCAGAAAAAUCAGUUUAGCAGCUGGAUGUUAUCUCAUAUCUCCAUAUGUAUAGUAGGAAAGUCAUUGCUGUUUAAUCUUUGUAGUGUUUUGUCUUUUUAGUUUAGCUAUUUAAGCCAUUCAACUACGUAUUCUCAGGUACAGUAGUUGAACAUUAAAUGAAGCGUGUCGACUAAAAUCUAGGUUCGUUCCGAUUUCCUUGGUUAGCAUUGUGUUGAUCUAUGUCAACUUUGAAACUAUACAUUGUUUUGGGUAAUUUCAUUCUUUGUGAAACAAAUUUUAAUAUGUACCUUACCUUGAGGUUACCUUGAGGUGCUUCCGGGGCUUAGCGUCCCCGCGGCCCGAUCGUCGACCAGGCCUCCUGGUUGCCGGACUGAUCAACCAGGCUGUUGGACGCGGCUGCUCGCAGCCUGACGUAUGAGUCACAGCCUGGUUGAUCAUGUAUAUUGCACAUCAGGUUCACAGUGCUAAGUAGCGUGUUAAAGUGACCCGAAAGUUAUGUAAAGUUUCAGAGGAAAAAAAUGUUGAUCAGUUGCAUUUUCUAAGUUAUGCAGGAAAUUCUAGAAGUUUACUUAAUGUAGGAUGUUACGUACUUACCUGAGUGCAUUUACAAAUGGAGUUCCUUUUACUUUAUAGUUUGCAAGCCAACAGCAAUGAAUUUUAUUUUCUUAUGCAAAAAAAAUGUUAGUGUGUAAUCAAGAUUAAAAUAAAUGUUUAUGUAAUUGCUUUAAGUGUAAAAAUGAUAAUAUUGUUGCUGAUGAGGCACUGUUAAGUCACUUAUGGAAUACAAGUGUAACCAUG